UCGAGCAGCGCUCUCCCAUGUCUACUUCCACCAGGACACAGGACAAAUGCUCAUUUGAUGUUCAAAUCAGCACAACGGGACGUGCCCUGUCCUUUGUGGUUUGGUAAUCUCCUUCUGUGAUCUGUGUUUCAUUGCUAUCCUGUGUGGUAAGAAUGAGACCAGGUGAUAUGAAUUCCAAAAUAGGACACUUCACUGCAAAACGGAUCACAGACCAACACAGAAACGGAAAUUAGAGAAACUCAUCUGUUUGCGGAGAAUUGGAUUCACUCGACUUUGGGCAAUGACCAGCAUCAACGCUCCCGCGUGCCUGGUUGCGCGUAACCAGUUCUACAGAAACCUUGGCCCGUCAACCGCAGAGAAAACUGCUUACGAUCAUUGCGCAACACAAUCAAAACAAAGACAAGUCACGGUUUGGGUGACCACAUCCACACAUCAAGGUCUAUCUGCAACAAUGGCCCGAGGAUGGUGGAUCAGUGUGAAUUUGGGCAAUCCCUCACCUACCACUAAACGCCCAAAUCGAACUGAAAGGGUGGUGAAGUAGAACUCCCACUCCUGUGGACAAGAGGAAACGUUUUUCACAAAACUGUGCAGUGAGAUUCUGUACAUGCAGCAUGUGUUCUGUGCCUUAAUGCACUACGAGGACAAUACUAAGAACCCAAUCCCCACUUUUGACAAGCAGAGAAAAAAAUCUGCUCAAACCUAUAUGUUCCCUGUUGCUAUUGCUUUCCCUCAGUUUCAAAUCCCUGGGCCAGAUUCCUCAGUUGCAUGCACAUGCAACAGAGGAAAAGUAAGUUUGUUUCCUUUCCUUGGACUGUUGCCAUGCUGCGGCUGGGAACCUUUUUCAUGCAAGUAACCAAUCAGAGCCUCAGCAGCCCUCCAGAGGGCCUCUCUUCCCUUCCCAGGACCUGUUGCUGGGAUGAGGAGGGGCGUAUGGAGCAGAAAAGAAUCAGCACUUGAAAGGAGGGUAUGAGUAGUGACCUGAAAAAACUGCACUAAAAGCACAUCUUGUAAUGAAAUGAUGCAUCAUUUUAAAGCCCUCGGGCUAGUGUUCUUUGUUCUCAUUUAAAUAUCUAAUUUUUGUUUUACAUGUUCUGUUGAAGAUGACCGGGCAUCGCCUCGCUCAUUUAUAUAAGAAAUUCCAUGCAACUUCCCUGUGCAAUAAGCUGGCCUCCCAGUCCCGGGUUCAGUCUUGACCUGAGUUCCAUUGAACCUAGUGUGUUCAAAUGUUUUGCCAAUACAAACUGGAUGAAUGUUGUACAAAUGAAUGUAGCAAUUGCGGACUUAUUUCAUAA
Long non-coding RNA from Conger conger (European conger), 1292 nucleotides. RefSeq lists it as uncharacterized. The transcript is spliced from 4 exons. NCBI's taxonomy places the organism in Eukaryota, Metazoa, Chordata, Actinopteri, Anguilliformes, Congridae. The record is from RefSeq and is a predicted model, not a curated record.